CAUUCAGUAGCCUAGCUACUUGUUUAUACCCUUGUUUUUUGCGUACUUAUUGUUUCCUCGGCGGGCUUGCCUGCCGAUUGGACAAAACUAUAACCUUUUUAAAUCUUCAAUCAGCGUCUGAAUUAUACAUAAUAAUUA
RNAcentral lists this unclassified non-coding RNA (138 nucleotides) under uncultured Ascomycota. RNAcentral's name for it is "sequence contains ITS1". Lineage: Eukaryota; Fungi; Ascomycota. The record is from RNAcentral.